UACGAAGGGGGCGAGCGUUUUUCGGAAUCACUGGGCGUAAAGCGCACGUAGGCGGCGCGUUAAGUCAGGGGUGAAAUCCUGGAGCUCAACUCCAGAACUGCCUUUGAUACUGGCGUGCUCGAGUGUGGGAGAGGUUGGUGGAACUCCGAUUGUAGAGGUGAAAUUCGUAGAUAUUCGGAAGAACACCAGUGGCGAAGGCGGCCAACUGGCCCAUUACUGACGCUGAGGUGCGAAAGCGUGGGGAGCAAACAGG
This 253-nucleotide ribosomal RNA is filed under the name uncultured bacterium. RNAcentral's name for it is "partial 16S ribosomal RNA". It matches the Rfam family "Bacterial small subunit ribosomal RNA", at positions 524 to 776 of the family's 1533-position model. The record is from RNAcentral.